GAUGAAGAACGCAGCGAAAUGCGAUAAGUAAUGUGAAUUGCAGAAUUCAGUGAAUCAUCGAAUCUUUGAACGCACAUUGCGCCCGCCAGUAUUCUGGCGGGCAUGCCUGAUCGAGCGUCAUUUCAACCAUCAAGCCCCCGGCUUGUGUUGGGGACCUGCGGCUGCCGCAGGCCCUGAAAAGCAGUGGCGGGCUCGCUGUCACACCGAGCGUAGUAGCAUACAUCUCGCUCUGGGCGUGCUGCGGGUUCCGGCCGUUAAACCACCUUCAUAACCCAAGGUUGACCUCGGAUCAGGUAGGAAGACCCGCUGAACUUAAGCAUAUCAAUAAGCGGAGGA
RNAcentral lists this unclassified non-coding RNA (336 nucleotides) under soil metagenome. RNAcentral describes it as "partial contains 5.8S ribosomal RNA, internal transcribed spacer 2, and large subunit ribosomal RNA". The stretch from base 1 to 120 matches the Rfam family "5.8S ribosomal RNA", at positions 35 to 154 of the family's 154-position model. The record is from RNAcentral.